CCUUUGGAUAAUACUGAGGUAUGGCCUUGGC
RNAcentral lists this non-coding RNA (31 nucleotides) under Homo sapiens (human). Lineage: Eukaryota; Metazoa; Chordata; Mammalia; Primates; Hominidae. The record is from RNAcentral.